This 1559-nucleotide ribosomal RNA is filed under the name Salmonella enterica subsp. enterica serovar Agona str. 04.O.05. RNAcentral's name for it is "bacterial SSU rRNA". It matches the Rfam family "Bacterial small subunit ribosomal RNA". Lineage: Bacteria; Pseudomonadati; Pseudomonadota; Gammaproteobacteria; Enterobacterales; Enterobacteriaceae. The record is from RNAcentral.
AGGCCUAACACAUGCAAGUCGAACGGUAGCACAGAGAGCUUGCUCUCGGGUGACGAGUGGCGGACGGGUGAGUAAUGUCUGGGAAACUGCCUGAUGGAGGGGGAUAACUACUGGAAACGGUGGCUAAUACCGCAUAACGUCGCAAGACCAAAGAGGGGAACCUUCGGGCCUCUUGCCAUCAGAUGAGCCCAGAUGGGAUUAGCUUGUUGGUGAGGUAACGGCUCACCAAGGCGACGAUCCCUAGCUGGUCUGAGAGGAUGACCAGCCACACUGGAACUGAGACACGGUCCAGACUCCUACGGGAGGCAGCAGUGGGGAAUAUUGCACAAUGGGCGCAAGCCUGAUGCAGCCAUGCCGCGUGUAUGAAGAAGGCCUUCGGGUUGUAAAGUACUUUCAGCGGGGAGGAAGGUGUUGUGGUUAAUAACCGCAGCAAUUGACGUUACCCGCAGAAGAAGCACCGGCUAACUCCGUGCCAGCAGCCGCGGUAAUACGGAGGGUGCAAGCGUUAAUCGGAAUUACUGGGCGUAAAGCGCACGCAGGCGGUCUGUCAAGUCGGAUGUGAAAUCCCCGGGCUCAACCUGGGAACUGCAUUCGAAACUGGCAGGCUUGAGUCUUGUAGAGGGGGGUAGAAUUCCAGGUGUAGCGGUGAAAUGCGUAGAGAUCUGGAGGAAUACCGGUGGCGAAGGCGGCCCCCUGGACAAAGACUGACGCUCAGGUGCGAAAGCGUGGGGAGCAAACAGGAUUAGAUACCCUGGUAGUCCACGCCGUAAACGAUGUCUACUUGGAGGUUGUGCCCUUGAGGCGUGGCUUCCGGAGCUAACGCGUUAAGUAGACCGCCUGGGGAGUACGGCCGCAAGGUUAAAACUCAAAUGAAUUGACGGGGGCCCGCACAAGCGGUGGAGCAUGUGGUUUAAUUCGAUGCAACGCGAAGAACCUUACCUGGUCUUGACAUCCACAGAACUUUCCAGAGAUGGACUGGUGCCUUCGGGAACUGUGAGACAGGUGCUGCAUGGCUGUCGUCAGGGAAGUUUUCAGAGAUGAGAAUGUGCCUUCGGGAACCGUGAGACAGGUGCUGCAUGGCUGUCGUCAGCUCGUGUUGUGAAAUGUUGGGUUAAGUCCCGCAACGAGCGCAACCCUUAUCCUUUGUUGCCAGCGAUUCGGUCGGGAACUCAAAGGAGACUGCCAGUGAUAAACUGGAGGAAGGUGGGGAUGACGUCAAGUCAUCAUGGCCCUUACGACCAGGGAUACACACGUGCUACAAUGGCGAAAUGGCGCAUACAAAGAGAAGCGACCUCGCGAGAGCAAGCGGACCUCAUAAAGUGCGUCGUAGUCCGGAUUGGAGUCUGCAACUCGACUCCAUGAAGUCGGAAUCGCUAGUAAUCGUGGAUCAGAAUGCCACGGUGAAUACGUUCCCGGGCCUUGUACACACCGCCCGUCACACCAUGGGAGUGGGUUGCAAAAGAAGUAGGUAGCUUAACCUUCGGGAGGGCGCUUACCACUUUGUGAUUCAUGACUGGGGUGAAGUCGUAACAAGGUAACCGUAGGGGAACCUGCGGUUG